GACGGGGGAUGCAAGUGUUAUCCGGAAUCACUGGGCGUAAAGCGUCUGCAGGUGGUUUUAUAAGUCUACUGUUAAACCUUGAGGCUCAACCUCAAAUCUGCAGUGGAAACUAGGAGACUUGAGUAUAGUAGGGGUAGAGGGAAUUUCCAGUGGAGCGGUGAAAUGCGUAGAUAUUGGAAAGAACACCGAUGGCGAAGACACUCUACUGGGCUAUUACUGACACUCAGAGACGAAAGCUAGGGGAGCAAAUGGGAUUAGAUACCCCAGUAGUCCUAGCCGUAAACGAUGGAUACUCGAUGUUGGACGUAUCGACCCGUUCAGUAUCUUAGCUAACGCGUUAAGUAUCCCGCCUGGGAAGUACGCUCGCAAGAGUGAA
Molecule: ribosomal RNA, 376 nt
Filed under: uncultured bacterium
Lineage: Bacteria
Description: bacterial SSU rRNA
Rfam family: Bacterial small subunit ribosomal RNA
Source: RNAcentral